This 71-nucleotide transfer RNA is filed under the name Marmota monax (woodchuck). Its description in RNAcentral is "tRNA.Ala". Lineage: Eukaryota; Metazoa; Chordata; Mammalia; Rodentia; Sciuridae. The record is from RNAcentral.
CGAGGUGUAGUCCAGGGGUGGACCCGUGUCUAGCGUCCAUGAGGCCCUGGGUCCAAUCCCCAGCAUCAAAA